Molecule: transfer RNA, 69 nt
Filed under: Marmota marmota marmota (Alpine marmot)
Lineage: Eukaryota; Metazoa; Chordata; Mammalia; Rodentia; Sciuridae
Also listed under: 3 other names
Rfam family: tRNA
About the family: Transfer RNA (tRNA) molecules are approximately 80 nucleotides in length. Their secondary structure includes four short double-helical elements and three loops (D, anti-codon, and T loops).
Source: Rfam by way of RNAcentral
GGGGUUAUGGCUCAGUGGUAGAGCACUUGCCUAGCAUGCAUGAGGCAGUUGGUUCAAUCCUCAGCACCA